UGGGGAAUAUUGGACAAUGGGGGCAACCCUGAUCCAGCCAUGCCGCGUGAGUGAUGAAGGCCUUCGGGUUGUAAAGCUCUUUUGGCGGGGACGAUGAUGACGGUACCCGCAGAAUAAGCCCCGGCUAACUUCGUGC
RNAcentral lists this ribosomal RNA (136 nucleotides) under uncultured bacterium. RNAcentral describes it as "partial 16S ribosomal RNA". It matches the Rfam family "Bacterial small subunit ribosomal RNA", at positions 355 to 508 of the family's 1533-position model. The record is from RNAcentral.